UGUGCCAGCAGCCGCGGUAAUACGUAGGGUGCGAGCGUUAAUCGGAAUUACUGGGCGUAAAGCGUGCGCAGGCGGUUUGUUAAGACGUAUGUGAAAUCCCCGGGCUCAACCUGGGAACUGCAUUCGUGACUGGCAAGCUAGAGUAUGGCAGAGGGGGGUAGAAUUCCACGUGUAGCAGUGAAAUGCGUAGAGAUGUGGAGGAAUACCGAUGGCGAAGGCAGCCCCCUGGGCCAAUACUGACGCUCAUGCACGAAAGCGUGGGGAGUAAACAGGAUUAGAUACCCUGGUAGUCCACGCCCUAAACGACGUCAACUAGUUGUUGGGGAUUCAUUUCCUUAGUAACGUAGCUAACGCGUGAAGUUGACCGCCUGGGGAGUACGGUCGCAAGAUUAAAACUCAAAGUAAUUACGGG
RNAcentral lists this ribosomal RNA (412 nucleotides) under Burkholderia cepacia. Its description in RNAcentral is "bacterial SSU rRNA". It matches the Rfam family "Bacterial small subunit ribosomal RNA", at positions 504 to 917 of the family's 1533-position model. The record is from RNAcentral. Lineage: Bacteria; Pseudomonadati; Pseudomonadota; Betaproteobacteria; Burkholderiales; Burkholderiaceae.